UACGUAGGGUGCGAGCGUUAAUCGGAAUUACUGGGCGUAAAGCGUGCGCAGGCGGUUUUGUAAGCCAGAUGUGAAAGCCCCGGGCUUAACCUGGGAAUGGCAUUUGGGACUGCAAGGCUUGAGUGCGGCAGAGGAGACUGGAAUUCCUGGUGUAGCGGUGAAAUGCGUAGAUAUCAGGAGGAAUACCGAUGGCGAAGGCAGGUCUCUGGGCUGACACUGACGCUCAUGCACGAAAGCGUGGGGAGCAAACAGG
Molecule: ribosomal RNA, 253 nt
Filed under: uncultured bacterium
Lineage: Bacteria
Description: partial 16S ribosomal RNA
Rfam family: Bacterial small subunit ribosomal RNA
Source: RNAcentral